RNAcentral lists this ribosomal RNA (384 nucleotides) under marine copepod environmental sample. RNAcentral's name for it is "partial small subunit ribosomal RNA". It matches the Rfam family "Eukaryotic small subunit ribosomal RNA", at positions 587 to 972 of the family's 1831-position model. The record is from RNAcentral. Lineage: Eukaryota; Metazoa; Arthropoda; Copepoda.
AGCUCCAAUAGCGUAUAUUAAAGUUGUUGUGGUUAAAAAGCUCGUAGUUGGAUUUCGGCGGGUAGUGGUUGGUUUGAAUUGAUUCAACACUGACUUUUUUUCCCGGUGUUUUUCCCGGAUUCUUACGGGGGUUUUUUACCGAUUGUCCGUUGGAACUGGCAGGUUUACUUUGAAAAAAUUAGAGUGCUCAAAGCAAGCUUACUGCUUGAAUAGUUGCGCAUGGAAUAAUAGAAUAGGAAGUCGUUUCUAUUUUGUUGGUUUUCGGAAAUCGACUUAAUGAUUAAUAGGGAUAGUCGGGGGCAUUCGUAUUCAAACGACAGAGGUGAAAUUCUUGGACCGUUUGAAGACGAACUAAGGCGAAAGCAUUUGCCAAGAAGGUUUUCA